RNAcentral lists this ribosomal RNA (494 nucleotides) under uncultured bacterium. RNAcentral describes it as "partial 16S ribosomal RNA". It matches the Rfam family "Bacterial small subunit ribosomal RNA", at positions 28 to 507 of the family's 1533-position model. The record is from RNAcentral.
GACGAACGCUGGCGGCGUGCUUAACACAUGCAAGUCGAACGGUGAAGCGCCUUCCUUUUUGGUGGGUGUGGAUGAGUGGCGAACGGGUGAGUAACACGUGAGUAACCUGCCCCCUUCUUCUGGAUAACCGCAUGAAAGUGUGGCUAAUACGGGAUAUUCUGGGUCUGUCGCAUGAUGGGUCUGGGAAAGAUAUUGUUUCGGUGGGGGAUGGGCUCGCGGCCUAUCAGCUUGUUGGUGGGGUGAUGGCCUACCAAGGCGGUGACGGGUAGCCGGCCUGAGAGGGUGGACGGUCACACUGGGACUGAGACACGGGCAAGACUCCGACGGGCGGCAGCAGUGGGGAAUAUUGCACAAUGGGCGCAAGCCUGAUGCAGCGACGCCGCGUGAGGGAUGGAGGCCUUCGGGUUGUGAACCUCUUUCGCCAGUGAAGCAGGCCUGCCUCGUUUGUGGGUGGGUUGACGGUAGCUGGAUAAGAAGCGCCGGCUAACUACGUG